CCUUGAGGCCACAUUUGACAGGCAGGCCCCUGAGGCCAUUUCUUCCCUUGAAACUAUUGCUGACUACAGAGAAUCUCAUUGGCUCUGUUUCCUCUACGUGCUGCUUGAAAACGGAAUAGUGCCUUUUCUAAGGCGUCUCUCUCUUGUAACAACACCAUCACACAUCACUAAAGGAAGCCAACCCAUACUCUGAACAUGCAGCUUGGAAAUCGCCUUCGCCAGAUCUGCAACCUCAUUAGGUACGUAUUCCGUCUUCCGUGUCUCACUGCACGCACUGCCACACAUUUUGCCGCUGCUUAGCCCCACUUCUCCAGCCUCCAGGACAAUUUCCUCACUACCCCUGGAGCCUCCACUGGGAGAGUCCUUCCCAGACGGAGGAGAUACAUCAACUAAGUGCAAACACAGGGCCCUGGACUGGAUUCUGAAACCGGAAAAGAGCAUCACCAGAAACGCUGGCGGAGUUCAUACAGGGCUGUAGCUUCUGUUGAUUUCUGGGUGUUGAUCAUUACUCUGUGGUUAUGCAUUUAUUACUAUUAGGGCAGCUAGGUGCAGAACACACGUGACCUCUGUACCAUUUUUACGACUUUGGUGUAAGUCUAAAAUUGUUUCAAAAUAGAAAGUAGGGCAGCCCUGGUGGCUCAGCGGUUUAGCGCCACCUUCGGCCCAGGGCGUGAUCCUGGAGACCCCGGGAUUGAGUCCCGCGUCCGGCUCCCUGUGUGGAGCCUGCUUCUCCCUCUGCCUGUGUCUCUGCCUCUGUGUGUGUGUGUGUGUGUGUCUUUCAUGAAUAAAUAAAAUCUUUUAAAAAAAUAGAAAGUAAAAAAUAACUAGUUAAUUUAAAAGAGAGAGAGAGAGAGUUCCCUCAUCACCUCUCCAACCUCUACCCAAUGCUUGGUCCCAAAGCCAAUGCCACGUGUCUUAGAUUUUUUUCAAGCCAACACCCAACUUUCAGACAUGGAUUUCCGUUAUCUAUUAUGCAUAAUACACCACCCCUGAAACAUGGCAGCUUACAACAGCAUCGACUGUUCUCUCACUCGCCAUUCUGCACUAGGGACAGAACACAAUGACAGCUUGUCUUUCCUUCAUGUACUGUUGGCUGGGGUGGCUUGACUGGGGCUGGAGGACCCAUGAUGAUAUCAAGCACGGGGCUAGGGCCCAGCUGGAGUGCCUGAAAUAGUGAGGGGCUGGGCCUGUCUCCUUCCUUAGGUCUCACUGCCUCCAUGAGGCUGUUGUCUUCAGCACCGUUGUCAGUCUUCCUUAUCAUCCAAGAAAGCAAACACUAAAGUUGCCAGGUCUAGGCCCAGAACUGGAAUAGCAUCAUUUUUGCCGCAUUCUAUUGACCAAAGCAAGUAAUGGAGCCUGUCAAGAAUUCCGGGGAGGAGAAAGAGACUCUACCUCUUAGUAGGAAGCAUGGAGAGAGACAGCGUAAUUGCUGGUGGCCCUCUACCACCAUGACCACACCCCACUCCCCUAGAAAUGUCUCCUUAAAACAGACAAUCUUCCCUGGUCAAUUCUUCCUAGAACCUCCAUCAUUUAAGAAUCAUUGCUAUCUGGGUGCCUGGGUGACUUGGUCGGUUAAGCAUCUGACCCUUGAUUUCGGCUCAUGUCGUGAUCUCAGGGUCCUGAGAUCCAGCCCUGCGCUGGGCUCUGCACUCAGUGGGGAGUCUGCUUGGGAUUCUCUCUCUCCCUCCC
Molecule: long non-coding RNA, 1689 nt
Filed under: Canis lupus familiaris (dog)
Lineage: Eukaryota; Metazoa; Chordata; Mammalia; Carnivora; Canidae
Description: lncRNA (ENSCAFG00845029386.1)
Source: RNAcentral